RNAcentral lists this ribosomal RNA (254 nucleotides) under uncultured bacterium. RNAcentral describes it as "partial 16S ribosomal RNA". It matches the Rfam family "Bacterial small subunit ribosomal RNA", at positions 79 to 334 of the family's 1533-position model. The record is from RNAcentral.
CUUCCUUUGCUGGCGACCGGCGCACGGGUGAGUAACACGUAUCCAACCUGCCCUUUACUCGGGGAUAGCCUUUCGAAAGAAAGAUUAAUACCCGAUAGCAUAAUGAUUCCGCAUGGUUUCAUUAUUAAAGGAUUCCGGUAAAGGAUGGGGAUGCGUUCCAUUAGGUUGUUGGUGAGGUAACGGCCCACCAAGCCUUCGAUGGAUAGGGGUUCUGAGAGGAAGGUCCCCCACAUUGGAACUGAGACACGGUCCAA